This 301-nucleotide ribosomal RNA is filed under the name uncultured bacterium. RNAcentral describes it as "partial 16S ribosomal RNA". It matches the Rfam family "Bacterial small subunit ribosomal RNA", at positions 509 to 807 of the family's 1533-position model. The record is from RNAcentral.
CAGCAGCCGCGGUAAUACGUAGGGUGCGAGCGUUAAUCGGAAUUACUGGGCGUAAAGCGUGCGCAGGCGGUUCGUUAAGACAGAUGUGAAAUCCCCGAGCUUAACCUGGGAACUGCAUUUGUGACUGGCGAGCUAGAGUAUGGCAGAGGGGGGUAGAAUUCCACGUGUAGCAGUGAAAUGCGUAGAGAUGUGGAGGAAUACCGAUGGCGAAGGCAGCCCCCUGGGCCAAUACUGACGCUCAUGCACGAAAGCGUGGGGAGCAAACAGGAUUAGAUACCCCGGUAGUCCCUGUCUCUUAUAC